RNAcentral lists this ribosomal RNA (441 nucleotides) under uncultured bacterium. RNAcentral describes it as "partial 16S ribosomal RNA". It matches the Rfam family "Bacterial small subunit ribosomal RNA", at positions 339 to 795 of the family's 1533-position model. The record is from RNAcentral.
CUACGGGUGGCUCCAGUGGGGAAUAUUGGGCAAUGGGUGCAAGCCUGACCCAGCAACGCCGCGUGAGGGAAGAAGGUUUUCGGAUCGUAAACCUCUGUCCUUGGGGACGAAGAAGUGACGGUACCCAAGGAGGAAGCUCCGGCUAACUACGUGCCAGCAGCCGCGGUAAUACGUAGGGAGCAAGCGUUGUCCGGAAUUACUGGGCGUAAAGGGUGCGUAGGCGGCAUAUUAAGUCAGGUGUGAAAUACUCGGGCUCAACCCGGGGGCUGCAUUUGAAACUGAUAUGCUUGAGUGUGAGAGAGGAAAGUGGAAUUCCUAGUGUAGCGGUGGAAUGCGUAGAUAUUAGGAGGAACACCAGUGGCGAAGGCGACUUUCUGGCUCAUAACUGACGCUGAGGCACGAAAGCGUGGGGAGCAAACAGGAUUAGAUACCCCUGUAGUC